RNAcentral lists this long non-coding RNA (272 nucleotides) under Homo sapiens (human). RNAcentral describes it as "non-protein coding lnc-SYN2-1:1". The record is from RNAcentral. Lineage: Eukaryota; Metazoa; Chordata; Mammalia; Primates; Hominidae.
AUAGUGAUUGAACAGCUAAACAGAACGAAAAAGCAUGCACAUCUUACAGAUACAGAGAUCAUGACUUUGGUAGAUGAGACUAACAUGUAUGAAGGUGUAGGAAGAAUGUUUAUUUUUCAGUCCAAGGAAGCAAUUCACAAUCAACUGUUAGAGAAGCAGCAAAUAGCGAAGAAAAAAUUAAAGAACUAGAACAGAAAAAGUCCUACCUGGAGCGGAGCGUUAAGGAAGCUGAGAACAACAUCCGGGAGAUGCUGAUGGCACGAAGGGCCCAG